Molecule: non-coding RNA, 82 nt
Filed under: bovine gut metagenome
Description: S10-Clostridia ribosomal protein leader
Rfam family: S10-Clostridia ribosomal protein leader
Source: RNAcentral
UGAUAGCGAUGAAACGUGAGGUUGCUGCAUGAAAUUGCAGGUUUUCCGCGGAGCGAAUGUCAAGUUAGGAAACUGACGACAA